GUCUAUGGCUAUGCUACCCUGAACAAGCCCAAUCCCGUCUGAUUUCAGAAGCUCAGCAGGGUCGGGCCUGGUUAGUACUUGGAUGGGAGACCACCGAGGAAGACCAGGUGCUGUAGGCG
This 119-nucleotide ribosomal RNA is filed under the name Pteropus alecto (black flying fox). The record is from RNAcentral. Lineage: Eukaryota; Metazoa; Chordata; Mammalia; Chiroptera; Pteropodidae.